CCCAUGCGAGAGUAGGGAC
This 19-nucleotide ribosomal RNA is filed under the name synthetic construct. The record is from RNAcentral.